RNAcentral lists this small RNA (27 nucleotides) under Bombyx mori (domestic silkworm). RNAcentral describes it as "ovarian small RNA-26414". The record is from RNAcentral. Lineage: Eukaryota; Metazoa; Arthropoda; Insecta; Lepidoptera; Bombycidae.
UCAUUUUCAUCAUAGAUGCGCAAAAAC